Arabidopsis thaliana (thale cress) is the source of this 188-nucleotide RNA transcript. RefSeq lists it as uncharacterized. The record is from RefSeq. Lineage: Eukaryota; Viridiplantae; Streptophyta; Magnoliopsida; Brassicales; Brassicaceae. The transcript has 2 exons.
ACGUUUCACUUAUGACAGAAAUGUUGAGAACUAGAGGCAAUGAUGGACUUGGAGGGAGAAAGUCUAACUUUAAUUCAGUUGGAAGGGUAGAAAAUUUCUUCUAUACAUGGAUUUUUAGGCGAAGAAUACAGAUGACCUUAAUGCUUUUCUUAAAGAAGAUCCAAGUCUUGGAAAUGAACGAGAUGAAG